GGCUGCUGCCGCGUGGGGGAUGAGUCAGCACGGGGAUCCCGCCGGCUAAUGUCUCAGUUCUCUCCCAAAGCCUCCAUCUCCAGUCUCCUCAAACGUCUCCAGCCCACUCUGUCCCCGCCUUUGCUGAAGCCCAGGGUCUCUUGAACCCGCUGGCGGUCUCGGAAGUGCGCCUGGCUUUCUGCUAAAAGCAAGGACUGAAACGACAGCCCUCCGUGUGCCACCCAGGUGCCCAGCGUCCAGGUGCCCUGCGUCCGGCUGCCCCCGUGGAGCCCUAUCCCGCCCACUCAAAGCGUCCUGAGAAAACACCUCCAUGGACCGGCUCCCCAAGGAUUCAACGCUUUCCAGGAGGGUCCCACCCACGGCCCACGGGCGACCCAGGGUAGCUACUGAAUGCGGCCCAACCCAAAAGUGUACAUUUACUUAAAGCGUUGCGGUUUUUUGUGAUUACCUGUCGCAAUGUAUUUAAUGUGUGGCCCAGAGACGCCCAAAGGCUGGACACCCCGCGGGACAGAACAGUGGAAAAUCUCAUCAGAACCAAACAGCCCGUCUUGGGCGGCGACAGGGCCGCGAGAUACAAAUUCUACAACUUGUGUGGUGUGAUCGAACCACGACGUAGGUCACCCCACCUGCCACGUUACAGAUGAAGAAACCAGGACCCCAACCAGUUUAAUGAGAAAGCUGGGCGCCAAACCCGGUCGCCUACUCGUGACAUUAUGCCUCUGACCUUUCCCACGGACACAAGCUCUUCCACAUAAAGCUGUUCAAACUGUUAUUAAGUGGGGCUGUAUUUUAUGGGGUAAAUGUAACAAAUGUCAGCUACUAGCCUAAACUGGCCUUCGGGAACAUC
This is a long non-coding RNA of Pteronotus mesoamericanus, 847 nucleotides long. RefSeq lists it as uncharacterized. NCBI's taxonomy places the organism in Eukaryota, Metazoa, Chordata, Mammalia, Chiroptera, Mormoopidae. The transcript is spliced from 3 exons. The record is from RefSeq and is a predicted model, not a curated record.